Onychomys torridus (southern grasshopper mouse) is the source of this 369-nucleotide non-coding RNA. The record is from the annotation of a RefSeq genome assembly. NCBI's taxonomy places the organism in Eukaryota, Metazoa, Chordata, Mammalia, Rodentia, Cricetidae.
AUGGAGUUGAAACUGAGCUGGGUUUUCCUUGUUGCUCUUUUCAAAGGUGUCCAGUGUGAGGUGCAGCUGGUGGAGUCUGGGGGAGGCUUGGUACAGCCUGGAAGUUCACUAAAACUCUCCUGUGCAGCCUCUGGAUUUACUUUCAGUGGCUAUUUCAUGAACUGGGUCCGCCAGGCUCCAGGGAAGGGGCUGGAGUGGGUUGCUCAAAUUAGAAACAAAGGUUAUAAUUAUGCAACAUACUAUGCAGAGUCUGUGAAAGGCAGAUUCACUAUCUCAAGAGAUGAUUCCAAAAGCAGUCUCUACCUGCAAAUGAGCAGUUUAAGAGCUGAAGACACCGCCAUUUACUACUGUGCAAGACACUGUGAAUGA